This 273-nucleotide long non-coding RNA is filed under the name Mytilus galloprovincialis (Mediterranean mussel). Lineage: Eukaryota; Metazoa; Mollusca; Bivalvia; Mytilida; Mytilidae. The record is from RNAcentral.
CCAAAAACAGAUAUAUGAUUUCUUUAGUGUGCAUUUAAGUCAGGGGACAAGACAUGUUGUGCAUUCAUGAUAUAUCACAUGAUAAAAACUCUUUUUUAAAUACUCUAUUUUUCACUGUACAUAACAAGACUGUCACAGUCAAAUACAACAUGAUGUACAUAAUUUAUGCCUUUAAGAAAUUAAAUAGGGUAUUCCCAUUAACAUGAUUUUGCCUAAGAGACAAGAGAACAUUGAAUAGAUAUAUGUAACUAGUUUUUAUUAUUUAGUUGAUAU